CUAUACUGCAAGUCGAGCGGACAGAUGGGGAGCUUGCUCCCUGAUGUUAGCGGCGGACGGGUGAGUAACACGUGGGUAACCUGCCUGUAAGACUGGGAUAACUCCGGGAAACCGGGGCUAAUACCGGAUGCUUGAUUGAACCGCAUGGUUCAAUUAUAAAAGGUGGCUUUUAGCUACCACUUACAGAUGGACCCGCGGCGCAUUAGCUAGUUGGUGAGGUAACGGCUCACCAAGGCGACGAUGCGUAGCCGACCUGAGAGGGUGAUCGGCCACACUGGGACUGAGACACGGCCCAGACUCCUACGGGAGGCAGCAGUAGGGAAUCUUCCGCAAUGGACGAAAGUCUGACGGAGCAACGCCGCGUGAGUGAUGAAGGUUUUCGGAUCGUAAAACUCUGUUGUUAGGGAAGAACAAGUACCGUUCGAAUAGGGCGGUACCUUGACGGUACCUAACCAGAAAGCCACGGCUAACUACGUGCCAGCAGCCGCGGUAAUACGUAGGUGGCAAGCGUUGUCCGGAAUUAUUGGGCGUAAAGCGCGCGCAGGCGGUUUCUUAAGUAUGAUGUGAAAGCCCCCGGCUCAACCGGGGAGGGUCAUUGGAAACUGGGGAACUUGAGUGCAGAAGAGGAGAGUGGAAUUCCACGUGUAGCGGUGAAAUGCGUACAGAUGUGGAGGAACACCAUUGGCGAAGGCGACUCUCUGGUCUGUAACUGAUUUCUGGAGGGCGCGAAAUACGUGGGGGAGCC
Molecule: ribosomal RNA, 745 nt
Filed under: Bacillus licheniformis
Lineage: Bacteria; Bacillati; Bacillota; Bacilli; Caryophanales; Bacillaceae
Description: bacterial SSU rRNA
Rfam family: Bacterial small subunit ribosomal RNA
Source: RNAcentral